Molecule: ribosomal RNA, 253 nt
Filed under: uncultured bacterium
Lineage: Bacteria
Description: partial 16S ribosomal RNA
Rfam family: Bacterial small subunit ribosomal RNA
Source: RNAcentral
UACGUAGGCAGCGAGCGUUGUUCGGAGUUACUGGGCGUAAAGCGUGCGUAGGCGGUUUUGUAAGUUUGGUGUGAAAUCUCCCGGCUUAACUGGGAGGGUGCGCCGAAAACUGCAAGGCUGGAGUGUGGGAGAGGUAGGCGGAAUUCCUGGUGUAGCGGUGAAAUGCGUAGAUAUCAGGAGGAACACCUGUGGUGUAGGCGGCUUACUGGACCAUGACUGACGCUGAGGCACGAAAGCGUGGGGAGCAAACAGG